UACGAAGGGUGCAAGCGUUGUUCGGAAUUACUGGGCGUAAAGAGCGCGUAGGCGGUCUAUUAAGUCAGGCGUGAAAGUCCCGGGCUCAACCUGGGAAUUGCGUUUGAUACUGGUAGGCUUGAGAUUCAGAGAGGUGAGUGGAAUUCCUAGUGUAGCAGUGAAAUGCGUAGAUAUUAGGAGGAACAUCAGUGGCGAAGGCGCUCACUGGCUGA
RNAcentral lists this ribosomal RNA (212 nucleotides) under uncultured bacterium. RNAcentral describes it as "partial 16S ribosomal RNA". It matches the Rfam family "Bacterial small subunit ribosomal RNA", at positions 524 to 736 of the family's 1533-position model. The record is from RNAcentral.